Molecule: unclassified non-coding RNA, 345 nt
Filed under: soil metagenome
Description: partial contains 5.8S ribosomal RNA, internal transcribed spacer 2, and large subunit ribosomal RNA
Rfam family: 5.8S ribosomal RNA (bases 1-120)
Source: RNAcentral
GAUGAAGAACGUAGUGAAAUGCGAUAAGUAAUGUGAAUUGCAGAAUUCAGUGAAUCAUCGAGUCUUUGAACGCACAUUGCGCCCUCUGGUAUUCCGGAGGGCAUGCCUGUCCGAGCGUCAUUGCUGCCCUCAAGCACGGCUUGUGUGUUGGGCUCCGUCCCCCGAUCCCGGGGGACGGGCCCGAAAGGCAGCGGCGGCACCGCGUCCGGUCCUCGAGCGUAUGGGGCUUUGUCACCCGCUCUGUAGGCCCGGCCGGCGCUUGCCGAUCAACCAAAUUUUUAUCCAGGUUGACCUCGGAUCAGGUAGGGAUACCCGCUGAACUUAAGCAUAUCAAUAAGCGGAGGA